UGGGGAAUAUUGGACAAUGGGCGCAAGCCUGAUCCAGCCAUGCCGCGUGAGUGAUGAAGGCCCUAGGGUUGUAAAGCUCUUUUGUGCGGGAAGAUAAUGACUGUACCGCAAGAAUAAGCCCCGGCUAACUUCGUGCCAGCAGCCGCGGUAAUACGAAGGGGGCUAGCGUUGCUCGGAAUCACUGGGCGUAAAGGGUGCGUAGGCGGGUCUUUAAGUCAGGGGUGAAAUCCUGGAGCUCAACUCCAGAACUGCCUUUGAUACUGAGGAUCUGGAGUGCGGGAGAGGUGAGUGGAACUGCGAGGGUAGAGGUGAAAUUCGUAGAUAUUCGCAAGAACACCAGUGGCGAAGGCGGCUCACUGGCCCGAUACUGACGCUGCGGCACGAAAGCGUGGGGAGCAAACA
RNAcentral lists this ribosomal RNA (402 nucleotides) under uncultured bacterium. Its description in RNAcentral is "bacterial SSU rRNA". It matches the Rfam family "Bacterial small subunit ribosomal RNA", at positions 355 to 774 of the family's 1533-position model. The record is from RNAcentral.